CCUCUAUCAUCAGGCUCUAGGGCCAAAUCUGAGAAGAAAGAGAAAAGCAACCUCAAAAAUACAAGUGUCGGGUCACGGAAACGCAGCAUAGGUCACAGCAGGCUGAAGAGACUGCAUCUCUUGGAACAAUUAGCCUUAUAUCGCAAGGUCAGUCAAGAAACAAAGAUGGUUCGUGUCAAAGAAGUUUGCCAGAAGUUAGUACAGAAAAGUUCUCAUCAGCUAAAGAAGAAAAUAAUGAACAGAUUACAGGUGUGGAUUGUUAAUGUCUUACAUUUGUGUUGAUAACAAGAAAAGAAUGAGUCCUCUCUCUUUUUGGUCCCAAUACUACGUCUGAAACAAAAAUGUGGCCCAAGGGAAAAUGUAGUAGAUUUGUUGAAAUGCUUUCUUUUUUCUUUUUCUUUUUGUUCCAGCUAGGUUUUACCUGUGUUUUUUUUUAAGUACAGUACAAGGUUAGUGGCUGGAAUAGUUACAGCUGGGCAGAUGUCGAAUAAAUUACUUGUCAGUCUAGUUCUAUGCA
Molecule: long non-coding RNA, 517 nt
Filed under: Pogona vitticeps (central bearded dragon)
Lineage: Eukaryota; Metazoa; Chordata; Lepidosauria; Squamata; Agamidae
Description: lncRNA (ENSPVIG00000005177.1)
Source: RNAcentral